UGUAAUAGGGCUUUCAUGGGUGGUAGUUCACCCCUUUUUUGAAAGGGGGUGAUACGAUGACAGUAUUCGAAGCAUUGUUUCUGAUGAUCGCGUUCGCAACUUUAGUUGUAGCUAUACUGUCAGAACAAAAAAAGUAACCACCCGAUGAAUGCCUAGCCGCAUUUUGGUUGGUUACUUUUCCGAUUCAAACAUGUGAGCCGCGCGCCCUUGAGGGCUUUUACAAACCUUGACCGUUCCAUGUACCAGCAUGGGCG
RNAcentral lists this small RNA (254 nucleotides) under Virgibacillus sp. SK37. Its description in RNAcentral is "BsrG". It matches the Rfam family "BsrG". From Rfam's summary of the family: bsrE, bsrG and bsrH pair through intermolecular interactions with antisense sRNAs. SR4 interaction with the 3'UTR of bsrG RNA promotes bsrG degradation and inhibits its translation. Lineage: Bacteria; Bacillati; Bacillota; Bacilli; Caryophanales; Bacillaceae. The record is from Rfam by way of RNAcentral.